CCCUCAAGCAACUCCAGCAUCUAUUUUUCCUCCCUGCGGUAAGAACAUAGACAUUAUCAGUAGUGUAAUGUACCAACUUUUGGUAAGUUGCCACUAGCAAUUCAUGCAUCUAUAAUGUUUUGAGUUGGGAUGAGGGUUAAUUUCCCUCGAGGAAUAUUCUUUUUUAUCUGACUUUAGAAGUUAAAACACUUUCAAUUCUGUAUUCCUUUUGGCAUCUACUUGCUAUGAGGAUUCAUGCUAUUUUGCUCAC
RNAcentral lists this unclassified non-coding RNA (250 nucleotides) under Hevea brasiliensis (rubber tree). Lineage: Eukaryota; Viridiplantae; Streptophyta; Magnoliopsida; Malpighiales; Euphorbiaceae. The record is from RNAcentral.